AAGGUUAGCGGUAGGAGAGCCUGCUCAUCCAUCUUCCAGGUCCUCGUUCAGCCAUAGAACUUGUAUGAUGCCCACAGAGAGAGUGUCUUCUACGUGUCCACCCUGGCUCUUAAACUUCUUAUGACAUUCAGUUCAUCACCAUCAUCUCCUAUCUAAAGACUCCCCUGAUCCUCCAGUCCCAGCUGGUCCUGCCCCUCCUCUGGUCUCCAUCGCUCUUGUCACAAGGUGUUAUGGUCAGCCGCAUGUGCCUCUGUCUGCUACUACAUGCAAGUCCCACUGGGGCUGCCUGAUCCAUCAUCUUUGUAGCACCCUAGAUGUGAUCCUGGGCUUCCAUUAAUAUAUAUUCCACGGACCACAAUCAAGCAGUGGCUGAGUGGGGCAUGUGAUAAAGACCAAUCUUCGGGUGCAUUUCUAUGUCACUUCUUGCUACAGAGCUCAAAAUCCAGCCUCAAGAUACUUCAUGGACAAGUGAGACGGAUAUAAAAAGACACACUAAAUUCGUUCUGUUUUUUGACAUGCUCCACUCCGUUGGCGUUCAGUGAGCUAUCCAAUGAACUCUGGCACCGGAAGAAAGCUCUCUUGACCAAAGUAAAGAACCCCAGAGAGACCUUUAUUGGAGAAAUUUACAGAAAAAUAAUCCCAAAAUAGAUUUCAGAUGGAAAAGCGGCUUACAAAAAAAUUUCCAGGAAAGCUAAAAGUGAAAUAAAGAAGAGCUUCAAAGUG
Molecule: long non-coding RNA, 723 nt
Filed under: Rattus norvegicus (Norway rat)
Lineage: Eukaryota; Metazoa; Chordata; Mammalia; Rodentia; Muridae
Description: long non-coding RNA NONRATT005085
Source: RNAcentral